CUGAGAGGAUGACCAGCCACACUGGAACUGAGACACGGUCCAGACUCCUACGGGAGGCAGCAGUGGGGAAUAUUGCACAAUGGGCGCAAGCCUGAUGCAGCCAUGCCGCGUGUAUGAAGAAGGCCUUCGGGUUGUAAAGUACUUUCAGCGGGGAGGAAGGGAGUAAAGUUAAUACCUUUGCUCAUUGACGUUACCCGCAGAAGAAGCACCGGCUAACUCCGUGCCAGCAGCCGCGGUAAUACGGAGGGUGCAAGCGUUAAUCGGAAUUACUGGGCGUAAAGCGCACGCAGGCGGUUUGUUAAGUCAGAUGUGAAAUCCCCGGGCUCAACCUGGGAACUGCAUCUGAUACUGGCAAGCUUGAGUCUCGUAGAGGGGGGUAGAAUUCCAGGUGUAGCGGUGAAAUGCGUAGAGAUCUGGAGGAAUAUCGG
This 428-nucleotide ribosomal RNA is filed under the name Shigella sonnei. Its description in RNAcentral is "bacterial SSU rRNA". It matches the Rfam family "Bacterial small subunit ribosomal RNA", at positions 292 to 712 of the family's 1533-position model. Lineage: Bacteria; Pseudomonadati; Pseudomonadota; Gammaproteobacteria; Enterobacterales; Enterobacteriaceae. The record is from RNAcentral.